Molecule: ribosomal RNA, 301 nt
Filed under: uncultured bacterium
Lineage: Bacteria
Description: partial 16S ribosomal RNA
Rfam family: Bacterial small subunit ribosomal RNA
Source: RNAcentral
CAGCCGCCGCGGGAAUACGAAGGGUGCAAGCGUUACUCGGAAUUACUGGGCGUAAAGCGUGCGUAGGUGGUGGUUUAAGUCCGUUGUGUAAGCCCUGGGCUCAACCUGGGAAUUGCAGUGGAUACUGGGUCACUAGAGUGUGGUAGAGGAUAGUGGAAUUUCCGGUGUAGCAGUGAAAUGCGUAGAGAUCGGAAGGAACAUCUGUGGCGAAGGCGACUAUCUGGGCCAACACUGACACUGAGGCACGAAAGCGUGGGGAGCAAACAGGAUUAGAUACCCGCGUAGUCCCUGUCUCUUAUAC